This 1289-nucleotide ribosomal RNA is filed under the name metagenome. RNAcentral's name for it is "bacterial LSU rRNA". It matches the Rfam family "Bacterial large subunit ribosomal RNA", at positions 1620 to 2925 of the family's 2925-position model. The record is from RNAcentral.
UCUCUAUCGAGGUUAAAGGUGCCUGUACCGCAAACCGACACAGGUGGGUGAGGAGAGUAUCCUAAGGCCAGCGAGAGAACUGUUGUUAAGGAACUCGGCAAAAUGACCCCGUAACUUAGGGAGAAGGGGUGCCUUCGAAAGAAGGCCGCAGAGAAUAGGCCCAAGCGACUGUUUACCAAAAACAUAGGUUUCUGCUAAGUCGCAAGACGAUGUAUAGGAGCUGACGCCUGCCCGGUGCUGGAAGGUUAAGGGGAUCUGUUAGAGCAAUCGAAGCAGUGAACUUAAGCCCCAGUAAACGGCGGCCGUAACGAUAACGGUCCUAAGGUAGCGAAAUUCCUUGUCGGGUAAGUUCCGACCCGCACGAAAGGCGUAACGAUUUGGGCACUGUCUCAACAACAGACUCGGUGAAAUUGUAAUACCGGUGAAGAUGCCGGUUACCUGCGACAGGACGGAAAGACCCCAUGGAGCUUUACUGUAGCUUGACAUUGAGUCUCGGUGCUACAUGUACAGGAUAGGUGGGAGACUAUGAAGCAUGGACGUCAGUCUGUGUGGAGUCAUCCUUGGGAUACCACCCUUGUAGUACUGGGAUUCUAACCAGAGGCCAUGAAUCUGGUCUUGGGACACUGUCAGGUGGACAGUUUGACUGGGGCGGUCGCCUCCCAAAAAGUAACGGAGGCGCUCAAAGGUUCUCUCAGUACGGUCGGAAAUCGUACGAAGAGUGUAAAGGCAAAUGAGAGCUUGAUUGCAAGACAUACAGGGCGAGCAAGGACGAAAGUCGGACUUAGUGAUCCGGUGGUUCCGCAUGGAAGGGCCAUCGCUCAACGGAUAAAAGCUACCCUGGGGAUAACAGGCUGAUCUCCCCCAAGAGUCCACAUCGACGGGGAGGUUUGGCACCUCGAUGUCGGCUCAUCACAUCCUGGGGCUGUAGUAGGUCCCAAGGGUUGGGCUGUUCGCCCAUUAAAGUGGUACGCGAGCUGGGUUCAGAACGUCGUGAGACAGUUCGGUCCCUAUCCGUCGCAGGCGUAGGAAAUUUGAGGAGACCUGUCCUUAGUACGAGAGGACCGGGAUGGACGUACCGCUGGUGUACCAGUUGUUCUGCCAAGGGCAUGGCUGGGUAGCUAAGUACGGAAAGGAUAAGCGCUGAAAGCAUCUAAGCGCGAAGCCCACUUCAAGAUAAGAUUUCCCACCGCAAGGUUAAGAUCCCAGGAAGGCUACCUGGUUGAUAGGUCAGAGGUGUAAGUGUAGUAAUAUAUUUAGCUUACUGAUACUAAUAGAUCGAGGACUUGACC